RNAcentral lists this ribosomal RNA (513 nucleotides) under uncultured bacterium. RNAcentral's name for it is "partial 16S ribosomal RNA". It matches the Rfam family "Bacterial small subunit ribosomal RNA", at positions 28 to 523 of the family's 1533-position model. The record is from RNAcentral.
GAUGAACGCUGGCGGCGUGCCUAAUACAUGCAAGUCGAGCGAACAGACGAGGAGCUUGCUCCUCUGACGUUAGCGGCGGACGGGUGAGUAACACGUGGAUAACCUACCUAUAAGACUGGGAUAACUUCGGGAAACCGGAGCUAAUACCGGAUAAUAUAUUGAACCGCAUGGUUCAAUAGUGAAAGACGGUUUUGCUGUCACUUAUAGAUGGAUCCGCGCCGCAUUAGCUAGUUGGUAAGGUAACGGCUUACCAAGGCAACGAUGCGUAGCCGAGCUGAGAGGGUGAUCGGCCACACUGGAACUGAGACACGGUCCAGACUCCUACGGGAGGCAGCAGUAGGGAAUCUUCCGCAAUGGGCGAAAGCCUGACGGAGCAACGCCGCGUGAGUGAUGAAGGUCUUCGGAUCGUAAAACUCUGUUAUUAGGGGAGAACAAAUGUGUAAGUAACUAUGCACGUCUUGACGGUACCUAAUCAGAAAGCCACGGCUAACUACGUGCCAGCAGCCGCCGUAA